CUCACCACGGCUCGCCCUCGGCAUCCUCUCCCCACCACGGCUCGCCCCGCAGCCCCCCACCUCCGAUACGACCUCGCGCUGCCACCAACGCUUCCGGUCUCCCCUGUAUCGACGCUGCCGCCGGUGUCCAACCUCAGCGACGACGCCAGCCUGCCCGACACAGCUCCUGGCCGCGGCGGCCUAGAACGCCGAGGUAUAGAAGCCUGCUCCGGCUGCCAAGCUGCCGCCCAACCUGCUCAGGCUGGGGGUUCCAUAUGAUACAAGACUCAAAGGUCUAGAUGAUGACAGAGGAACCAAAGGUCUACCACAGGAUGCUUCAAGGUCUCAUUUUAAAAGGUCAACAGAAUCUUCUAAUUAUGGUACUCGUAAUAAUUGAAUAUGUGGGGAGAGUUGGUGUUUCCCGUGAGCUAGCUUUCUACACGCAGCCGGCGGCUUGAUGUUAAGGUAAAGAAAAUCUUAUCAAAGUUCGUACCUGAUAAAAGUUCGCUGGCUUGGUGGCGAGGACCUCAACGUGGCGACGGCGGCAACCUGCGCUCGUAUCCGUGGGUCAGCAGAGGAGAGCAGCAGGCGAGCAGCGGCCACGGUGCCCCGUGCUCACGUCCGUGGGGCAGCAGAGGUGGAGCGGACGGUGGUGCUGGAGACCCUCAUUCACAUCCAUGAGGCGGCAGUGGAGAGCAGCAAGUGGCGGACGACGGCCUGUGCUCGCGUCCUUGGGACAGUAGAGAAGGAGCGAACGGCGGCGUCUGAGUCCUGUUUUUGCGUCCGUGCAGUAGCAGAAGAGGAGCAGACAGCGACAUCGAUCCGCGCUUGCGCCCAUGGGGGAGCAGCCAGUAGGAGGAGCGGUGGGCGGUGGCGGCGAUAUGCGUUCACGUCCGUGGGGCAUGAGGCAGGAGAGACAAAGUGUCAGAGAGAAGAUUACGGGAUAGAAAUCCCUUAUCCCUGCUAAUUGAGGACGAGUGGGACGCGUUUGCUGGCAGAACAUUUAAUCUGAAUCGUUCAUUUGCGUGGUAGACUCUUGAUGUAAUAUGGUCUGUUAGAUGUGAUUUAGUUGGAUUAAUCAAACGUCUUUAGUAAUCCUGUGUACACUUUAUGGUGUGUCUGUAGGGGAAUUCAUGUUUGGUCUUUUAAUAGUAGUAUAGAUAUAGAAGAGGACCGAUGACCAGACCACCAGAUGGUGCCUAUGGGAUUGAGACCUGAAAAGGAAACAAGUAAAAGUGAAAUCAUGUGUGUA
This is a non-coding RNA of Triticum urartu, 1231 nucleotides long. The record is from RefSeq and is a predicted model, not a curated record. Lineage: Eukaryota; Viridiplantae; Streptophyta; Magnoliopsida; Poales; Poaceae.